UGGGGAAUAUUGCGCAAUGGGCGAAAGCCUGACGCAGCAACACCGCGUGAGGGAUGACGGCCUUCGGGUUGUAAACCUCUUUCAGCUCCGACGAAGCGAAAGUGACGGUAGGAGCAGAAGAAGCACCGGCUAACUACGUGCCAGCAGCCGCGGUAAUACGUAGGGUGCAAGCGUUGUCCGGAAUUAUUGGGCGUAAAGAGCUCGUAGGCGGUCCGUUGCGUCUGCCGUGAAAACCCGGAGCUCAACUCCGGGCCUGCGGUGGAUACGGGCGGACUAGAGUCCGGUAGGGGAGACUGGAAUUCCUGGUGUAGCGGUGGAAUGCGCAGAUAUCGGGAGGAACACCGGUGGCGAAGGCGGUCACCUGGGCCAGUACUGACGCUGAGGCGCGAAAGCGUGGGGAGCAAACAGGAUUAGAUACCCUGGUAGUCCACGCCGUAAACGAUGAGCACUCGGUGCCGCGGGUAUCGACCCCUGCGGUGCCUGAGCUAACGCAUUAAGUGCUCCGCCUGGGGAGUACGGUCGC
This 523-nucleotide ribosomal RNA is filed under the name uncultured bacterium. RNAcentral describes it as "bacterial SSU rRNA". It matches the Rfam family "Bacterial small subunit ribosomal RNA", at positions 355 to 889 of the family's 1533-position model. The record is from RNAcentral.